AAAUGAUUCUUAUCUCUUUUUGGAGAGAUGGCCGAGAGGUUUAAAGCGUCGGAUUGCUAAUCCG
RNAcentral lists this transfer RNA (64 nucleotides) under Ptisana attenuata. Its description in RNAcentral is "partial tRNA-Ser". RNAcentral also lists the same sequence under 2 other names. Lineage: Eukaryota; Viridiplantae; Streptophyta; Polypodiopsida; Marattiales; Marattiaceae. The record is from RNAcentral.